CAGCCACCUAGCCUCUGUGCUGCUUGCUGCCACAGAAGAGGGAGGUUCUUGGUUGUGGUUUGAGUGUGGAGGGUUUCCAGCAACAGUUACUUUGUCC
Zingiber officinale is the source of this 97-nucleotide long non-coding RNA. RefSeq lists it as uncharacterized. NCBI's taxonomy places the organism in Eukaryota, Viridiplantae, Streptophyta, Magnoliopsida, Zingiberales, Zingiberaceae. The transcript has 3 exons. The record is from RefSeq and is a predicted model, not a curated record.